AACGAACGCUGGCGGCAUGCCUAACACAUGCAAGUCGAACGAGACCUUCGGGUCUAUUGGCGCACGGGUGCGUAACGCGUGGUAACCUGCCCUUAGGUUCGGAAUAACUCCCCGAAAGGGGUGCUAAUACCGGAUAAUGUCUUCGGACCAAAGAUUUAUCGCCUUUGGAUGGGCCCGCGUUGGAUUAGCUAGUUGGUAGGGUAAAAGCCUACCAAGGCGACGAUCCAUAGCUGGUCUGAGAGGAUGAUCAGCCACACUGGGACUGAGACACGGCCCAGACUCCUACGGGAGGAAGCAGUGGGGAAGAUUGGACAAUGGGCGAAAGCCUGAGCCAGCAAUGCCGCGUGAGUGAUGAAGGCCUUAGGGUUGUAAAGCUCUUUUACCCGGGAUGAUAAUGACAGUACCGGGAGAAUAAGCUCCGGCUAACUCCGUG
RNAcentral lists this ribosomal RNA (433 nucleotides) under uncultured bacterium. RNAcentral describes it as "partial 16S ribosomal RNA". It matches the Rfam family "Bacterial small subunit ribosomal RNA", at positions 29 to 507 of the family's 1533-position model. The record is from RNAcentral.